RNAcentral lists this ribosomal RNA (582 nucleotides) under uncultured bacterium. Its description in RNAcentral is "bacterial SSU rRNA". It matches the Rfam family "Bacterial small subunit ribosomal RNA", at positions 102 to 694 of the family's 1533-position model. The record is from RNAcentral.
AAGGGAGAGGAAUAAGUAGAAAUCUACCCUCGGGUCGGGGAUAGCGGCGGGAAACUGCCGGUAAUACCCGAUGACGUCUUUGGACCAAAGGUGUGAUUCCGUCUGAGGAUGAGUCUACUUCCUAUUAGCUAGUUGGCGGGGUAAUGGCCCACCAAGGCAACGAUGGGUAGCAGGUGUGAGAGCAUGACCUGCCUCAUUGGGACUGAGACACUGCCCAGACACCUACGGGUGGCUGCAGUCGAGAAUCUUCGGCAAUGGACGAAAGUCUGACCGAGCGACGCCGCGUGCGGGAUGAAGGCCUUCGGGUUGUAAACCGCUGUCGGAGGGGAACAAAUGUACGGGGGUUCUCCCCUGUAUUUGAGUGAACCUAGGAGGAAGGAGAGGCUAAGCUCGUGCCAGCAGCCGCGGUAAGACGAGCUCUCCGAACGUUAUUCGGUAUCACUGGGCUUAAAGAGUUCGUAGGCGGUCUGGUAGGUGAGGUGUGAAAUCCCCCGGCUCAACCGGGGAACUGCGCUUCAAACCGCCGGACUUGAGGGAGACAGAGGUGGGCGGAACAGAUGGUGGAGCGGUGAAAUGCGUUGA